AGUAUAAAAUCCCCUACAAGUAUUCUGUGUGUAAAGCUCAAUCCCAAUUUCUCCGGACGCACCAUGGGGACUGCAGGCAGCGACGUCGAAGCCGGCUUUGCAAAGCUGCAAGGCGAGGAUUUUGAGUACUACAUGCAAACAUACUCCAUAAUGUUGGGCCGCAAUUCCAAGAAAUCCACCGUCGAUGUCGACCUCUCCAGCCUUGGUGGCGGUAUGAACAUCUCCCGUCACCACGCUCGCAUCUUUUACGAUUUCACGCGCCGACGUUUUGCCCUAGAGGUUCUUGGUAAAAACGGCUGCUUGGUCGAAGGUGUCCUCCAUCUCCCUGGUAACCCUCCUGUCAAGCUUGAUUCCCAAGAUCUGUUGCAAAUUGGGGAUAAGGAGUUUUAUUUUCUGCUUCCCGUGAGGAGUAUUCUAGGCGGCCAUCUUGGACCCAGGCAUCAUGUGGCGGUGAUGCCUCAGUACGGUUAUCAUUCCUCUGGGGCGGAGAGGAUGUCGGGGGCUGUGGCCGUGGCGGCAGUUAAGAAAGGGAGAAGAGAAUUUUACGAGGAUGAGCACGAUGAUGAAGAGGAGAUUGGUGGUGGCGGUGGUAAUGGUGGAAAGAAGGUGAGGAGAGAGGGUUUUGAGGGGUACGGCUACAGUGCAGGUGGUGGCUCCGGUGGUAAAGUGGGAUUGGCUGGAGCAUUAGUUCCUGCAGAGAAGAAAAUAGAUGGAAGAUCAAGGGUUGAUCGUGAUUCUGACAAUCACCAACUUAUGCAGUUGGAAGAAAAAGAUGUAGUGUCAUCUGUUGCUACUGUGCUGUCUGAUCUUUGUGGUCCUGGAGAAUGGAUGCCCAUGGAGAAACUCCAUGCUGAGUUGGUGGAGCAAUUUAGCAAUGUCUGGCAUCAUACUCGGGUGAGGAGAUAUCUCACGUCUGAGGACUGGCCUGGUCCUGAAUCCAAAGGGAAACCCUGGUAUGGCUUGCUUAUGUUGUUGAGAAAAUACCCAGAGCAUUUUGUCAUCAACACGAGGUCCAAGGGUCGUGUAACACUGGAGUUUGUCUCUCUCGUCUCUCUGCUUUCAUAAGAUACUGAGAACAUAACUAGGUUCUUCUUCUCACAUGGCCUAGCUGCAUGCAGUUUGUCCACUGAGUGAAUUAAGUUGCAGAUUGUUGAUCUUGACUCUUGGAUUAGGUCUGGACUUGCAGCUUGAAAACAUGAAAGAUUUCCUGUUUCUUGAGAACAUCUCUUAAUGAUGUGGGAAUUUCACUGCCUCCAAAAUUUUUUAGCCAUCCAGUACUGCUGUCUUUAAACCUCCUGUGAUCCAUACGAUAGAGUUGAAUUCAUACAUCCAGUCUCCACCAAUGCAACAAGGUUACUGGCUGAUCUUAGCAUAAGAUGAGUGAUGUUCAGUUAUUUAGCUUGAGCCUUCAGAUUCCUACGUUAAAUGUAUUUGAAGCAUGGUAGAUAACAUGGCCAAUUUUGUGCAACUUUCAUCGUUUAUCCUUCACUUUUCUGGGGAUUGAAAUCCAGCUCCUUAACUUUGAGGUUAACAUGUUGUAGACUUCUACAAGAUCAACUUGGCGAUAAUUACUGUUGCUUAUCAGAUGUGCCCUUUGGGAUUCGUGCAAAAAGCUGAGAUUUGACUGCUUCACCCAUCCCUUGUUCGGUUUCACUUGUGGAAGAUAUCAUGGACAAAAAGGUUCCUGUUUCUCUUUCUUUAUCCCCUCAAAAUAGUUCAUCAAGGUCUGAUCAAUACAUUUUCAAACAAUAUUGUGAACAAAAAACAUCUCAAGCCCCUGUUUGAAAAUUAUAAUUUUGUAAGAAUUUAAUUCAAUUGAUUUUUUUUCUUUUUUUAUUAA
RNA transcript from Hevea brasiliensis (rubber tree), 1840 nucleotides. It is a transcript of the gene named FHA domain-containing protein FHA2, with no coding region annotated. The transcript has 4 exons. Lineage: Eukaryota; Viridiplantae; Streptophyta; Magnoliopsida; Malpighiales; Euphorbiaceae. The record is from RefSeq and is a predicted model, not a curated record.